UCAGUGAAAUUGAAAUCGCUGUGAAGAUGCAGUGUACCCGCGGCUAGACGGAAAGACCCCGUGAACCUUUACUACAGCUUGGCACUGAACAUUGACCCUACAUGUGUAGGAUAGGUGGGAGACUUUGAAACCGCGUCGCCAGAUGUGGUGGAGUCGUCCUUGAAAUACCACCCUUGUAGUGUUGAUGUUCUAACGUUGGCCCCUGAAUCGGGGUUACGGACAGUGCCUGGUGGGUAGUUUGACUGGGGCGGUCUCCUCCCAAAGAGUAACGGAGGAGCACGAAGG
Molecule: ribosomal RNA, 285 nt
Filed under: Vibrio sp. HI00D65
Lineage: Bacteria; Pseudomonadati; Pseudomonadota; Gammaproteobacteria; Vibrionales; Vibrionaceae
Description: partial 23S ribosomal RNA
Rfam family: Bacterial large subunit ribosomal RNA
Source: RNAcentral